UUAUGUUUUAUUUAUGGUCGAUUUUUGUUAUAAUCAGUAGCUGAAAGGAAAAAAACACAUGCAUCGCUUUAGCCAAUGGGCUGCUGCCUAGUGGCGCAUUGCCCCGCCCACCACUUCCUUCGCGGGGGGCGGGCUUUCCUCUGUCUUUCCGGCUGCGACUCCGAUGCUGAGCGAGCUGUUAAGGAAAAGGGAGACGGAGAUUCAUUGAAAAAAGAGCACAAAAAGCGAUAUAUAAGAGUCAGAGGUCGGAGGCGGCGCCAUUUUGUGUUGCGCUGUCCUCUCGUGAGAUCGGUCAGGUUUUUUUUUCUUUUCCUUGAUUUGUUUUAUUUGUGAUGUGAUGGCGAGCCAAUCCCACAGACGAACCAGACAACUUCUUCCCGUGCUGCCCUGCACAGUGCGGUAGGCCAGCUGCGACAAGGAUCUCUGCCACACCAUUCUGCACCUGCUGUCCUCUUUCACACACCCACACAUACACUGACGUUCCCCUGGACUUUUAGACGCUUUAAGGACUUCUACGGACUCAGCACACUCCCACAGGCAGGAGGCGGACCUGGUAUGGACAGAUUGGAAACACCCCUCCAAAAUAAGGUUCUGUUGCAUACAGCUGGUGAGAUCGAAGCAGUGUGAUAUUUGUUAUUGGAAUGGUUUUGUUUUGAACUAAAGCCUAAGUUGUGAAUUUAGAAGGGUGCACCCGGGAAAAUUUUGAAAGUGACUGUGAUUGUAAAAUAAGAUUACUGGUACCGAAGAGAAACUUUUAUUUAAAAUUUAUUUUAUUUGUUACAAUAUAUUUUCUUUAAAAUACACAAGCCGGCAACUUUUCAAAACCAUAACCUGCGUUCGAGUCUCAUUCUUUUCACACCUCCUUCCUGUGGCCGAACCUUCUGGCCCAAAUCAAUUAAGCUUCCUUACCUUAAGUCUUGGAAGGAAAAUCCUGAGGUGAGAUUUCUCUAUAAGUAACUUAGGUGGUUACAAUUGGCGAGCCAGCCAGCCAGGAGGAGAUAUUGUGAACUGCAUGAGACUCAUUUUGUUAAACAUUUCAGAAAUAAACAGUCAAGCCAAAAUCUGGUAAAAUGGAAAUUGUAGUUAAAGAGUCAGUUAAAAUCCCUAACUCAGUAAUCAUAAGUGGACUUACCAACAGUGAACUUGAUGAAGAAGUAGCAACUUACCUUUCAAAACACGGGUCAGUUAACCGCCACAUCUGUAUCGAUGAUCCGCAUUCUGAGUUUCAUCAGCAGAUGAUAGCUGAGUUCAGUCAUGUCAGUGCCAUGAAUACCUUAAAUCCCCUUUUGCCACUUACUGUCCACUGCUCUGCUCAGCCUGAAAUCACAUUUGAAAUUAAGAGUUUAUCUGAGGUGUACGAAGCAAAUGUGCGGAAUGUCACUAGGACAUAUAUGAAACAUCUAUCUGAGAUGGCCAGUCUGAGUGGACACUCGCUGGAGGAUGUGCUCAAAGAGGGGUUAGCCAAUCUAACUGUGUCCUCUCAAUCCUCUCA
This is a long non-coding RNA of Archocentrus centrarchus (flier cichlid), 1492 nucleotides long. RefSeq lists it as uncharacterized. Lineage: Eukaryota; Metazoa; Chordata; Actinopteri; Cichliformes; Cichlidae. The transcript is spliced from 3 exons. The record is from RefSeq and is a predicted model, not a curated record.